CGUAAGAUGUAAAAUAACUGACAUUUGCGGAAGCAUAGCAGAAUUUAUUGAUUGAGCGUUAAUAAUAUUUGUAGAAGACACUAUACCACUUGAUAAUUCUUCUACUAACGUUAACUUCUUAACAGGUUCACAUUAUCAUAUGCACCUUCAACAUCCAGAAAUACACAGAUUGCAUUAGAGUGAGCAAAGAUAGAAUUUUUGAUGUCAGCAAUGAAUGAAACGAAGCCUUCAACUGCACUUUUACCUUUUCUGAAACCUAGUUGAUAAUCAGGU
Long non-coding RNA from Melitaea cinxia (Glanville fritillary), 273 nucleotides. RefSeq lists it as uncharacterized. The record is from RefSeq and is a predicted model, not a curated record. The transcript is spliced from 2 exons. Lineage: Eukaryota; Metazoa; Arthropoda; Insecta; Lepidoptera; Nymphalidae.